Molecule: ribosomal RNA, 491 nt
Filed under: uncultured bacterium
Lineage: Bacteria
Description: partial 16S ribosomal RNA
Rfam family: Bacterial small subunit ribosomal RNA
Source: RNAcentral
AGUGAACGCUGGCGGUAGGCCUAACACAUGCAGGUCGAACGGCAGCACAGUAAGAGCUUGCUCUUACGGGUGGCGAGUGGCGGACGGGUGAGGAAUACAUCGGAAUCUACUUUUUCGUGGGGGAUAACGUAGGGAAACUUACGCUAAUACCGCAUACGACCUACGGGUGAAAGCAGGGGAUCUUCGGACCUUGCGCGAUUGAAUGAGCCGAUGUCGGAUUAGCUAGUUGGCGGGGUAAAGGCCCACCAAGGCGACGAUCCGUAGCUGGUCUGAGAGGAUGAUCAGCCACAGUGGAACUGAGAGACGGUCCAGACUCCUACGGGAGGCAGCGGUGGGGAAUAUUGGACAAUGGGCGCAAGCCUGAUCCAGCCAUACCGCGUGGGUGAAGAAGGCCUUCGGGUGGUAAAGCCCUUUUGUUGGGAAAGAAAAGCAGCAGGUUAAUACCCCGCUGUUCUGACGGUACCCAAAGAAUAAGCACCGGCUAACUUCGU